RNAcentral lists this unclassified non-coding RNA (538 nucleotides) under Candida albicans. RNAcentral describes it as "sequence contains 18S rRNA gene, ITS1, 5.8S rRNA gene, ITS2, 28S rRNA gene". The stretch from base 184 to 337 matches the Rfam family "5.8S ribosomal RNA". The record is from RNAcentral. Lineage: Eukaryota; Fungi; Ascomycota; Pichiomycetes; Serinales; Debaryomycetaceae.
UCGUAACAAGGUUUCCGUAGGUGAACCUGCGGAAGGAUCAUUACUGAUUUGCUUAAUUGCACCACAUGUGUUUUUCUUUGAAACAAACUUGCUUUGGCGGUGGGCCCAGCCUGCCGCCAGAGGUCUAAACUUACAACCAAUUUUUUAUCAACUUGUCACACCAGAUUAUUACUUAAUAGUCAAAACUUUCAACAACGGAUCUCUUGGUUCUCGCAUCGAUGAAGAACGCAGCGAAAUGCGAUACGUAAUAUGAAUUGCAGAUAUUCGUGAAUCAUCGAAUCUUUGAACGCACAUUGCGCCCUCUGGUAUUCCGGAGGGCAUGCCUGUUUGAGCGUCGUUUCUCCCUCAAACCGCUGGGUUUGGUGUUGAGCAAUACGACUUGGGUUUGCUUGAAAGACGGUAGUGGUAAGGCGGGAUCGCUUUGACAAUGGCUUAGGUCUAACCAAAAACAUUGCUUGCGGCGGUAACGUCUACCACGUAUAUCUUCAAACUUUGACCUCAAAUCAGGUAGGACUACCCGCUGAACUUAAGCAUAUCA